GAUGAACGCUGGCGGCGUGCCUAAUACAUGCAAGUCGAGCGAACAGACGAGGAGCUUGCUCCUCUGACGUUAGCGGCGGACGGGUGAGUAACACGUGGAUAACCCACCUAUAAGACUGGGAUAACUUCGGGAAACCGGAGCUAAUACCGGAUAAUAUAUUGAACCGCAUGGUUCAAUAGUGAAAGACGGUUUUGCUGUCACUUAUAGAUGGAUCCGCGCCGCAUUAGCUAGUUGGUAAGGUAACGGCUUUCCAAGGCAACGAUGCGUAGCCGACCUGAGAGGGUGAUCGGCCACACUGGAACUGAGACACGGUCCAGACUCCUACGGGAGGCAGCAGUAGGGAAUCUUCCGCAAUGGGCGAAAGCCUGACGGAGCAACGCCGCGUGAGUGAUGAAGGUCUUCGGAUCGUAAAACUCUGUUAUUAGGGAAGAACAAAUGUGUAAGUACCUAUGCACGUCUUGACGGUACCUAAUCAGAAAGCCACGGCUAACUACGUG
Molecule: ribosomal RNA, 497 nt
Filed under: uncultured bacterium
Lineage: Bacteria
Description: partial 16S ribosomal RNA
Rfam family: Bacterial small subunit ribosomal RNA
Source: RNAcentral